This 292-nucleotide long non-coding RNA is filed under the name Phaseolus vulgaris (common bean). RNAcentral describes it as "long non-coding RNA (PVUL_LNC003613)". The record is from RNAcentral. Lineage: Eukaryota; Viridiplantae; Streptophyta; Magnoliopsida; Fabales; Fabaceae.
GAAGGAGAGGUACUGCAUAUUUGUAUCUUCUAUAUUUGAUUCUUGAGUCUUAAUGAUUAAAACUAUUUAUACUUGGAACCUUUUUCAGCUAGUUUGGCUCAACCCUGAUGACAAUCAUGAACUUAUGUGGGACUAUGGUAUGUGUUGAUAUCAGCAGAGGGGUUGCAGUAAGGGACUUAAUUGCAAAAGCUCUGAAGGGAGUUCUUGCACCGGCAUAGCAUGAGGCUAUUAUUAUUAUUUGCAUAAACGAAAUUUAAAGUAUUUUCUUAAGGUGUUGGACGAUCUGAAUGAG